Galeopterus variegatus (Sunda flying lemur) is the source of this 227-nucleotide long non-coding RNA. RefSeq lists it as uncharacterized. The transcript has 3 exons. The record is from RefSeq and is a predicted model, not a curated record. Lineage: Eukaryota; Metazoa; Chordata; Mammalia; Dermoptera; Cynocephalidae.
UGGUUUUUAAAAUCUCUAGUGCACAAAAAGAGAUCAUCCUCCUCAAGCAGUCAUCGGUGUUAGAGACAGAGUCCUGUAUGUGCUCAGCAACAUCCCUGGCCUUCUGAGGGUGAAGGAUAGGUAUUUACACAGGAGAGAUAAAAGCAUGUGCAGAUACGAAGACUGGUGCAUGAAUGUUCACAGCAGCUUUAUUUGUAAGAGCCAAAACCUAUUGAUAAUCCAAACGU